UUUUUUUUUGGUGACCAGUGACUUUAUUAAGUGUUAACACUCUUCAAAUGUCUGACUUUUGUCUACAGGAUCAAAGCAAGUUGGAGAAACACCAGCACCUGGAGACACCUUAGAUGGCACACCUCGUACUCUCAAUACUGUCUUUGAUUUCCCACCACCUCCAUUAGACCAAGUGCAGGAGGAGGAAUGUGAAGUAGAAAGGUAAUUCAGUGAUAUCUUAGAGAAGCUUAGGGCAUUACUUAAAAUUUUUAAAUUAUAUACUAUUCCUAUACUUAGUAGCAUUCUAGCACUGAAGCCUGGCAUGGUGGUAUGUACCUAUAAUGCCAGCUACUUGGGAGGCUGAGGCAGGAGAAUCAAUCACUUAAACUCAGGAGUUUGAGACCAGCUUGGGCAAUGUAGUGAGCCCCCACUUCAAACUGUAAAAAAUAAAAUAAAUAAAUAAAUAAGUUGGGUGCGUAAAAGAACUAAAACACCAUUUCAGAACUUGUUACUGAAAUGUAGAAAGGUACUCAAAUUUUCUUCAAUUUAUUUUAUAUUAAAUUAUUACAAUAUCCCAAAGAAUUAUUUAUCAAGCUGUUGGAGUUUAACCUAGCUUUGAGUAUCUUUGGUAUAAAUGUAUUGAUCACCAUUUUGUUUUCAUGUUACUCUUUACUUUCCAUUGUUUUAGGGUGACUGAACAUGGGACACCAAAGCCCUUUCGAAAGUAAGUAAAUCUUAAGCAGCUUUCAAUAAAGGCGCAUUUUAAGAAACGUAACCUUUUUUCCUCUAAAGUUUCAUUUUAAAGGAAAAGAAACCCUGUAUACCAAUCUGUUAUGUAGUAUAAAAGAAAGCUCUUAAGAAACACGGGUCAUUCAAAAGCUGUAUUUUGAAGUAUGUAUAAAACAGCCAUUUGUAGGAGAGGAUGAAAUUUCAGUCUCUGUGCUAAGUCAGAUUCAGGAAUCUGAUUAGAAUUUAUUGUAAUAUAAAGAUUUGUGCUGUUUCUCGUUGUCCACCUGAAGUCUUCAAAUUGAAUUCACUCUUUUUUCUUCAUAGGUUUGACAGUGUAGCUUUUGGAGAAAGUCAAAGUGAGGAUGAACAAUUUGAAAAUGACUUAGAGACAGAUCCACCCAACUGGCAGCAGCUUGUUAGUCGAGAAGUGUUACUGGGACUAAAACCUUGUGAGAUCAAAAGACAGGAAGUGAUUAAUGAAUUGUUCUACACUGAAAGAGCUCAUGUUCGAACGCUGAAGGUUCUUGAUCAAGUGUUCUAUCAGCGAGUGUCCAGAGAAGGAAUUCUGUCACCCUCAGAGCUACGGAAAAUUUUUUCAAACUUGGAAGAUAUUCUUCAACUUCACAGUAAGAGAAAUUAGCUCUG
This 1353-nucleotide small RNA is filed under the name Pongo abelii (Sumatran orangutan). RNAcentral describes it as "retained intron". Lineage: Eukaryota; Metazoa; Chordata; Mammalia; Primates; Hominidae. The record is from RNAcentral.